UAGAUUGAAGCCAGUUGAUUAGGGUAUUUAGCUGUUAACUAAGUUUUCAUGGGUUUGAAUCCCACCGAUCUAG
This is a transfer RNA of Homo sapiens (human), 73 nucleotides long. It matches the Rfam family "tRNA". From Rfam's summary of the family: Transfer RNA (tRNA) molecules are approximately 80 nucleotides in length. Their secondary structure includes four short double-helical elements and three loops (D, anti-codon, and T loops). The record is from Rfam. Lineage: Eukaryota; Metazoa; Chordata; Mammalia; Primates; Hominidae.